AUGGUAUUUCCUAGGCAAGAAUACUGGCAUGGGUUGCCGUUUCUUUCUCCGGGGCAUCUUCCCCACCCACGGAUUGAAGCUGCUUCUCCUGCUUUGGUAGGUGGAUUCUUCACGACUGCACCACCCGGGAAGCCCUCACUCCCAGACCAAUCAGCUAAGUGAGCUUCAACUCUCCACUGAAGGAAAACAAUGGAAAAGGAAGAUAAGCAGUGCUCCCCACACUUUUUUGGAUUCCUAUUUGGGAGAAUGUCAGGACCACAUUCCCGCAGCAUAUCUGGCAGAAACCACCUGAGGGGGAUCAGAAGAAGAAAUAUCUAAAUGUCUAGUGCCUGACUGAGCUCAGCUCUUCAAAGGGCUAUCAAAGAGAGGCAUCUUGCUGCAAAUUCUGUUUUCAGCCAUCAGGUAUGUCAAAUUCCGAUUACCCCUCAAGCAUGGAGCCUGUUUACAUACUUCAUUCCCUUCCAAAAUGUAUUCUUUUAUUUUUGAGAAAGCCACACUGUUGAGAUGCUCUUUUCUAAUCCUGUAGACUUGGAUGGUAUUUCAGACCCUCACACAUGGCCUCAGUCCUGUUAGCGAUGCUGUCAAUUAACCUCCAUUCAGAGGCAUAAGCCAACAACAGUUGGCUUUAGGUCAGCAGAAGAUUCCACUUUACCUGGUAAUUUUAGGACUGUACCAUCUGGGUGUCAGCAGCACACAGGGAGACAUUUGAGAACAGAUGAAGAAAGGAACCAUUUAUAAGACGGGUGAGGGAAACUCCCAAGAUACUCUUGCUGAACACUGAACUGCCCAAGGCUCUGCUGUCUGGUAUCUACCCCCGUUAUUGACUCAUUUUGCUGUCACCUCUUUGUUGCACUUGUUAUCUUGUGGAUCUUUUGAAGCAAAUUCUAUUGCUGUAUAUGGAAUGCCCUACACUCAACAGUGCCUGGCAUAUGACAGGAGUUCUAUAAAUACACAUUGCGUGCCCACUGAAUGAAUUAUUUGGCACUUGUGUUUUGAGAUAGGCACAAAAUAGUUACACAGUACAUAUUUACCAAACUCAUUCAUUCGAGUGAAUUCCUGAGCAGAGACUUGGGUCCAUGGAAGCACACCUCUGACUAAGUUCUUUUUACCCAGCCUCCAGGUAUACGUGUUCACAGCCAGUCCUUUUGACUUUUGAUGGGCUCCAGGAGAAGAGGUUGAAUAAUAGCAAUCAAUCAACAGCUCUAGCUGUUUGCAGCAACUCUCAAUCUGUUUCGUAAAUAGCUGACUUUCAACAAAUACCAUAUCUGACAAAAUUGAAUCAGAAGUUCCAUUUAACCUGCGGUGUUACGCAUAGAGUAAAUGAGGGUCCUGAGUGCCCCUCACUGUCUGUCUCUUUUCUGGAAUGAUAAAGAAGGAAAUUGCAAGUGGACACCACAAUGAGAGUUUGAACACCAGUGCUUCCUCAGUCAUAAAAAGGAUAUUACUCCUUGGUAAAACACACCACGAGAUGAAACACAGCAGAUUCCUUUACCUUUGGCGUCAUUCAUUUGCCUUGUAAACUGUUUCUCUUGAUAUUUAGAAAGUCAACUAAAUACAACAGAAAAAAAUCUUAGACAUUUGUAUCUUCAAAGGUUUGCAAUGAGACACACAGCAGCAUCAUGUUGUUAGUUUCAGAAGACUAGAUUAACAGCCUUUUUAUAACAAAACCCCAGAGUUCUGAAUUAGCACACUCAAGCUGCCAGUAAGGCAAUGUUAUAUCUACCAUUGUUAUUAUUUAAAACCCAUUGAUUAUAUUUUUGCUAGACCUUGUUUGAUUUUGCAAAAUGAUAACUCUCAGGAAAUUGUCUGCAAUAUAAAAAUAUGAAAAUUUAGUUAUUGUAAGUCAGACAAAGAAAGACCUAUAGUAUACAAUAUCACUUAUUUGUGGACUCUAAAAAGUCAAUAGCAUAGAAACAAGCUAGAAUUGUAGUCACCAGGGGCUGAGGGUCGGGAGAAUAGAGAGAUGUUAGUCAAAGGGUACAAAAUUUUGACUAUAUAAUGAAUAGACUCUUGAGAUCUAAUGUACAACAUGGUACCUAGAGUUAAUAAUACUGUACUCUACACUUGAAAUUCGCUAAGAGACUUGAUCUUAAAUGUUCUCACCAUGAAAAUAAAAAAGGUACCUCUAUGAAGUGAUGGAUGUGU
Long non-coding RNA from Bos indicus x Bos taurus (hybrid cattle), 2145 nucleotides. Lineage: Eukaryota; Metazoa; Chordata; Mammalia; Artiodactyla; Bovidae. The record is from Ensembl.